GUAUGGCUGAACAGGCAAGCU
This 21-nucleotide microRNA is filed under the name Anolis carolinensis (green anole). RNAcentral describes it as "aca-miR-5409". The record is from miRBase by way of RNAcentral. Lineage: Eukaryota; Metazoa; Chordata; Lepidosauria; Squamata; Anolidae.